CUUAAAGGAAUUGACGGGACCGCACAAGCGGUAGAUGAUGUGGAUUAAUUCGAUGCAACGCGAAAACCUUACUUACCCUUGACAUGUCCGGAAUCCCGAAGAGAUUUGGGAGUGCUCGCAAGAGAACCGGAACACAGGUGCUGCAUGGCUGUCGUCAGCUCGUGUCGUGAGAUGUUGGGUUAAGUCCCGCAACGAGCGCAACCCUUGUCAUUAGUUGCCAUCAUUUGGUUGGGCACUCUAAUGAGACUGCCGGUGACAAACCGGAGGAAGGUGGGGAUGACGUCAAGUCCUCAUGGCCCUUAUGGGUAGGGCUUCACACGUCAUACAAUGGUCGGUACAGAGGGUUGCCAACCCGCGAGGGGGAGCUAAUCCCACAAAGCCGAUCGUAGUCCGGAUCGCAGUCUGCAACUCGACUGCGUGAAGUCGGAAUCGCUAGUAAUCGUGGAUCAGCAUGUCACGGUGAAUACGUUCCCGGGUCUU
This 480-nucleotide ribosomal RNA is filed under the name uncultured Rhodocyclaceae bacterium. Its description in RNAcentral is "bacterial SSU rRNA". It matches the Rfam family "Bacterial small subunit ribosomal RNA", at positions 900 to 1382 of the family's 1533-position model. The record is from RNAcentral. Lineage: Bacteria; Pseudomonadati; Pseudomonadota; Betaproteobacteria; Rhodocyclales; Rhodocyclaceae.